CUACGGGCGGCUGCAGUGGGGAAUAUUGCACAAUGGGGGAAACCCUGAUGCAGCAACGCCGCGUGGAGGAUGACGCAUUUCGGUGUGUAAACUCCUUUUAUAUAGGAAGAUAAUGACGGUACUAUAUGAAUAAGCACCGGCUAACUCCGUGCCAGCAGCCGCGGUAAUACGGAGGGUGCAAGCGUUACUCGGAAUCACUGGGCGUAAAGCGCGCGCAGGCGGCCCCUUAAGUUGGAUGUGAAAGCCUACGGCUUAACCGUAGAACUGCAUCCAAAACUGAGGGGCUAGAGUCUGGGAGGGGGAGAUGGAAUUAGUUGUGUAGGGGUAAAAUCCGUAGAGAUAACUAGGAAUACCAAAAGCGAAGGCGAUCUUCUGGAACAGUACUGACGCUGAGGCGCGAAAGCGUGGGGAGCAAACAGGAUUAGAUACCCGGGUAGUC
This 439-nucleotide ribosomal RNA is filed under the name uncultured bacterium. RNAcentral's name for it is "partial 16S ribosomal RNA". It matches the Rfam family "Bacterial small subunit ribosomal RNA", at positions 339 to 795 of the family's 1533-position model. The record is from RNAcentral.